AUUUGUCUGGUUAAUUCCGAUAACGAACGAGACCUUAACCUGCUAACUAGAUCUCAAUACUCUGUAUUCUGCAACUUCUUAGAGGGACUAUGUAAAUCAAUUACAUGGAAGUUUGAGGCAAUAACAGGUCAGUGAUGCCCUUAUAUGUCCUGGGCUGCACGCGUGCUACACUGAUGCAUACAACAAGUGCCUAACCAGACAUGGUAUGGCAAUCUCGAAUAUGCAUCGUGAUGGGGAUAGAUCUUUGCAAUUAUAGAUCUUGAACGAGGAAUUCCUAGUAAGUGCAAGUCAUCAUCUUGCAUUGACUAUGUCCCUGCCCUUUGUACACACCGCCCGUCGCUCCUACCGAUACCGGGUGAUCCGGUGAACCUUUUGGACUCCGUAUGGGGGAAGAUAAGUAAACCAUAUCACCUAGAGGAAGGAGAAGUCGUAACAAGGUUUCCGUAGGUGAACCUGCRGAAGGAUCA
This 467-nucleotide ribosomal RNA is filed under the name uncultured ciliate. RNAcentral describes it as "SSU rRNA". It matches the Rfam family "Eukaryotic small subunit ribosomal RNA". Lineage: Eukaryota; Ciliophora. The record is from RNAcentral.